RNAcentral lists this long non-coding RNA (1380 nucleotides) under Homo sapiens (human). RNAcentral describes it as "non-protein coding LINC01184:9". The record is from RNAcentral. Lineage: Eukaryota; Metazoa; Chordata; Mammalia; Primates; Hominidae.
GUCAGUGCGGCUUCCCACUAGGCGCGUGGUACCCGAGGCCGGGCCGGAGCCGCAGGCCAGCCGCGAUUCCUUCGGGCGAUGCUGGGGGCUUUCCGGUCGGGGCCGCAGCCGCUUCCGGAGCCGCGGGCGAGGUGCGUUCCCCAGCCUGGUUUGCUCUGGGCUCUGACCCGCCGCCGCGAAUCUCCGCUCGUAACUCCGGGCCUGAACCUGGAGGAGGGAGGAUUUCCUCUGUGCAGCUUUCGAGCGGUAGACUCACCCUGCCAGGCAGACCUAGAUUGGCAUAACCAGAGAUCAGUUCCAGUUGUGAUGCAGUGGGUGUCUACACACUUCUGAUGACACCUUUAUUUUAAAAGCUGAUGUUCCAAGGUGCAAGCGGUCUUCUCUGUCUUCUUUAUGGCCAGUAAAAUUCUCCAGAAGAGAUUUAUGGCAGCCUCACUCCCAGUAGUUUCUGCAUUUAGUGAGAUAAGAUGGAAUCUUGCUCUCUUGCUCAGACUGGAGUGCAGUGGCAUGACCUUGGCUCACUGCAACCUCACCUCUCGGGUUCAAGCGAUUCUGCCUCAGCCUCUCGAGUAGCUGGGACUACAGGUGGGAGACCUCCACAGAACCCUUCCAGCAAGCUGUCUUCUAAAGCAAACAAGAAAAGGAAAGUCUGAGCAGUUUUGAUUAGAUUUCCCAGAAGUCAAAGCAAGGAAAAAUGAAAAAGCUUCAUUUCUCACGUUCUUAAAAGAGAGCACAGAUGUUGCAUCAUCUGGUUAGAUACCCUGAGAAUAAAAUCUGGAUCCAGUGAGAGGAAAGAUUCUGGGUGCUCAUGAAAAAAGAAACAAAACAAAACUUGGGAGCCUCUUGAGAGUGUACAGCAUCAGCCCUUGCCAACUCUUGUUUAUAUGCAUUUAACUUUCAGUUAACCAUGGGAAUAAUUCAUGAAAAUCCAAUCUACAAACAAAGGCCAUCCUAACGUUCAUGUUAUUCUUUUCCCUAAGAAUCUUUCACAAGAGCUAUAAUCAAGUAGAAUUAUGCUUUGAUUUGAAUUCUAAUUCAAUUGAAAAUAAAAAAUGAGGGCCGGACGCGGUGGCUCAUGCCUGUAAUCCCAGCGCUUUGGGAGGCUGAGGUGGACGGAUCACGAGGUCAGGAGAUCGAGACCAUCCUGGCUAACACGGUGAAACCCGAUCCCUACUAAAAAUACAAAAAAUUAGCCGGGCGUGGUGGCAGGCGCCUGUAGUCCCAGCUACUCGGGAGGCUGAGGCAGGAGAAUGGCGUGAACCCAGGAGGCAGAGGUUGCAGUGAGCCGAGAUCAUGCUACUGCACUCCAGCCUGGGCGACAGAGCGAGACUCUGUGUAUAAAUAAAUAAAUAAAUAAAUAAAUAACGAAAAGGUUGCCAU